This 1541-nucleotide ribosomal RNA is filed under the name Staphylococcus aureus. RNAcentral's name for it is "partial 16S ribosomal RNA". It matches the Rfam family "Bacterial small subunit ribosomal RNA". The record is from RNAcentral. Lineage: Bacteria; Bacillati; Bacillota; Bacilli; Caryophanales; Staphylococcaceae.
AUGGAGAGUUUGAUCCUGGCUCAGGAUGAACGCUGGCCGCGUGCCUAAUACAUGCAAGUCGAGCAAACGGACGAGAAGCUUGCUUCUCUGAUGUUAGGGGCGGACGGGUGAGUAACACGUGGAUAACCUACCUAUAAGACUGGGAUAACUUCGGGAAACCGGAGCUAAUACCGGAUAAUAUUUUGAACCGCAUGGUUCAAAAGUGAAAGACGUUCUUGCUGUCACUUAUAGAUGGAUCCGCGCUGCAUUAGCUAGUUGGUAAGGUAACGGCUUACCAAGGCAACAAUGCAUAGCCGACCUGAGAGGGUGAUCGGCCACACUGGAACUGAGACACGGUCCAGACUCCUACGGGAGGCAGCAGUAGGGAAUCUUCCGCAAUGGGCGAAAGCCUGACGGAGCAACGCCGCGUGAGUGAUGAAGGUCUUCGGAUCGUAAAACUCUGUUAUUAGGGAAGAACAUAUGUGUAAGUAACUGUGCACAUCUUGACGGUACCUAAUCAGAAAGCCACGGCUAACUACGUGCCAGCAGCCGCGGUAAAACGUAGGUGGCAAGCGUUAUCCGGAAUUAUUGGGCGUAAAGCGCGCGUAGGCGGUUUUUUAAGUCUGAUGUGAAAGCCCACGGCUCAACCGUGGAGGGUCAUUGGAAACUGGAAAACUUGAGUGCAGAAGAGGAAAGUGGAAUUCCAUGUGUAGCGGUGAAAUCGCAGAGAUAUGGAGGAACACCAGUGGCGAAGGCGACUUUCUGGUCUGUAACUGACGCUGAUGUGCGAAAGCGUGGGGAUCAAACAGGAUUAGAUACCCUGGUAGUCCACGCCGUAAACGAUGAGUGCUAAGUGUUAUGGGGUUUCCGCCCCUUAGUGCUGCAGCUAACGCAUUAAGCACUCCGCCUGGGGAGUACGCCGCAAGGUUGAAACUCAAAGGAAUUGACGGGGACCCGCACAAGCGGUGGAGCAUGUGGUUUAAUUCGAAGCAACGCGAAGAACCUUACCAAAUCUUGACAUCCUUUGACAACUCUAGAGAUAGAGCCUUCCCCUUCGGGGGACAAAGUGACAGGUGGUGCAUGGUUGUCGUCAGCUCGUGUCGUGAGAUGUUGGGUUAAGUCCCGCAACGAGCGCAACCCUUAAGCUUAGUUGCCAUCAUUAAGUUGGGCACUCUAAGUUGACUGCCGGUGACAAACCGGAGGAAGGUGGGGAUGACAUCAAAUCAUCAUGCCCCUUAUGAUUUGGGCUACACACGUGCUACAAUGGACAAUACAAAGGGCAGCGAAACCGCGAGGUCAAGCAAACCCAUAAAGUUGUUCUCAGUUCGGAUUGUAGUCUGCAACUCGACUACAUGAAGCUGGAAUCGCUAGUAAUCGUAGAUCAGCAUGCUACGGUGAAUACGUUCCCGGGUCUUGUACACACCGCCCGUCACACCACGAGAGUUUGUAACACCCGAAGCCGGUGGAGUAACCUUUUAGGAGCCAGCCGUCGAAGGUGGGACAAAUGAUUGGGUGAAGUCGUAACAAGGUAGCCGUAUCGGAAGGUGCGGCUGGAUCACCCC